RNAcentral lists this transfer RNA (94 nucleotides) under Plectosphaerella cucumerina. It matches the Rfam family "tRNA". From Rfam's summary of the family: Transfer RNA (tRNA) molecules are approximately 80 nucleotides in length. Lineage: Eukaryota; Fungi; Ascomycota; Sordariomycetes; Glomerellales; Plectosphaerellaceae. The record is from Rfam by way of RNAcentral.
UCCCUGGUGGCCCAGCUGGUUAAGGCGUCCGACUGUUAUCCGCUCACACGGACAGCACAUCGGGAGAUCGACAGUUCGAUCCUGUCUCGGGGAG